UUUGCCUCUGCUUUGUCGUGCUGGAGCUCUCCAGCCUAGCUAAGGGUGGGGAUCCUCGGUUUGCUUUGGUAAAACGGUCUCGGGCUCUGGGACUGCUCGCGGCGCUGCUCGUGCUCUCUGCAGCCAAAGGACGCCGGGGCUGCCACCUGCACUUCUGCCUUCCCCAGGCAUUAACAGAAGUGAGACCACGAAAGAACAGACACAAAUGGCUUUAAAACAAAGACCCGUGUAUUUCUACUAGACUAUACAGAGGAUGUCCUGCAGGAUGAAAGAUUGCCUUCCUGUCAGUUUUAUAUGGCCUCUACACCACAAAUUCCAAUUUAAGCCUUUUAAAAAGAAUCAGCCAUGCCUUUCAUUAUAUAUUUUGUUGGGGGAUAACGAACUACAGCAGACUGCUCUCAAUAGAACAAAUGGCUUGCUUUGUCACAGAACCAUGGUUGUAAGUCAAAUUAUCACCACAGAGAAGCACACAUUUUGUUUGAAACAUUAAUACUUACUGUGCUGCUCCUUCCCUGAGAAGAUUGUCAUUGUUGAGCAAUAACCGGACAUCUGGAGAAAAAAGGGUGUUCAGAUAGGUUAUUGGUUCUUGAUCAAAUGUUUCUUUAUUUCAUUUUCAACUGUACAAAAACAUGAAUAAUUAAAAUCGUUUCAUCAGGCGUAAGUAGUCACAGAAUGAGUGCGUGCUUUUCCCUUACUUAUACUUGACCCUAAGAGCAACAUAUCAUAACAUAACCAUAGACUCUCAUAGUAGGUGAAAUGUGAAGAAAAUGCUACUGAUCAUGUUCCUUCACCUACUUACCAUUGAAUACUUCAUUGAAUUCUCCAGGGGGUGCAUGAGUGAUGAAUUUUGCAGCUAUACGCACCUACAAUGAUGCAGAGAAGUAAUUAAAGACAAAAGAUCAUUUACUGAAUUCAUACACACCGCAACCUACACUGAAGCAAUUCACCAGCAAACCCAAAUCUGACAGUAAUAACAAGCCCCGUGCUUAGGGAGAAAUCCAGAUGUGUUUUCCAAGUAGAAAUCCUCAUUCUCAUAAGACUAGGCAUUUUUUCAGUGCAAAGAAACUCCGAAUGUACUCAGCAAGAACAUCAAAUUUCAUGUGGGCACCCGUUAGAAUGGGAACUAUUCAACCUUCAUAGCUGUAUUUUUUUUUUUUAAGAAUAUAAAUGCUGGCUAUCCCCUCUUGGUGACAUUUCUAAACGUUUUUUCCUGGUCUUUGCUAGUAAUCAGGAACCUAAAUGCCAACAUAUAAAAAGAACAAGAAACCACUGCAGUAAAACUGGUACUUUAACUAGAUGGCAACCAACAGCGUGAUCACGCUGCCAAGGUGUGUCUGACACACUGCAAGACUUGUUGGCUCCCUGUGAUGCAACGUGUUUGCUGCUUACAGCUGGCUGAAGGAGAUGCCGCUGACUCACAGCAAACAAUGGGUGGAGGAUGAGGUUGAUCCCUCUAUAAAAUGAGCAGUAAAUCAAUUACAUCAACUGCCACUGGAUUCUGUGUGGAUCUGUUUGUUCUGUCCUUCUAAACACCUCCUGGGGAACGACAACAAACUCCCAGUGCAGGAUCCUUUGGUGCAUCCUGAAGUGUUCUUGUACUGCAGAGAGCACAAGCUACAGCCCAGCUAUUAGCAACCAUAAAGAAACAUUUCUGGUAGAAUCCAUCUCCAAAGGCAAGUGCAGCAUUAUCUUUGGGAAUAUAAGGCCAGGAAAUGUAAACGAAGCCUGUUCUUGCACAUCAUGAAGUACCUCUCCAAGCCUUGCAGAGCUGUGUUUAAGCAUGUGUCUGUGUGUCUACUGAUUAUAGAAACAGACCCACAGAAUGCUUUGGGUUGGAAGGGACCUCAGAGACCAUCUAAUUCCACCCUGCUCCAGUGCCUCACCACCCUCUGAGUGAAGAAUUUCUUCCUAAUAUCCUAAUCUGAACCUACCCUCUUUUAGUCUGACACCGUUUCUCCCUGUCCUGUCACCCCACUCCCCGGCAGAGCCCCUCUCCUGCUUUCCUGUAGGCCCCUUUUUAGGAACCUGCUCUUCAUCUGCAUGUGUCCUGUGCAAAAACAUCGAGGGGAUAUACUCAAACUUUUAGAUGUUAAACCUAGCUGGACAUAGUGGAGAGCUUGUUAAAAUGAUGCUGGCUUAUCAAAAAGGUGCUGAAUUUGGAACUGGUCAGGGCUUUAUUUCAGAAUGUGCUGGUUUCUUGUUAUCAAAGCCAUGCUAGGCUUUCUUCAAGAGCUACUGCCUGCUUGGAGUCUCUGGGUAAGAAAAAGAACUGAGAGAUACUCCCUGUAGUGUGCCAGCAUUCCUGGCAUGUGUUCUCUCAAGGGUUACUUGGUACCCUUCUUCUUUGGCGUGUUACUCCUUCCCUUAUCUUGAAAUAGCAUUUUAUUGGAAACUGUACCGUAGCCGAGCCGUGAGCUGUCACUAGUGACAGAAUUAAGGCCUCUGGAACUGGAAUUGAUACAAUCAAUAAGUGAAAAGGCCAGCUGGCAGGAAAAUACCUGGGUAUCUGUAAACUCUGAAGCUGUAAAAGCAAAAAUAAGGUUCUUUUACCUUUUUAUUAAAAAAAAAAGUCUUCACUGUAUUCUGAAAUCGAAUGUACUUGUCUUGGAUUAUUAGGGUUUAGGUGGCCUUUGUUUGAUCCUGUUGAAACCAUUAAGAGUUUAUUUUUAUAACCAAAUCUUUUAUGCUUUUUACAAGACAGAAAGGAAUAAAAUCUUCUUGGACAAGACUUGAAACAGGAAAUGUCACAAAACUGGAUCUUUACCUUAGAAGGAUAAAACUGUCACUUUCUCCCAAGCACAGCUGUCAAGGCUGUAGAAGAGGCCUUCCUGCUCAGCUGGACACUUAUUGAAGAUGACUACAGAACACUUGCUAAACCUCUGAUUACUUCCCUACUUUCCAUUUGAGCAGUAAAACAAAGGUUUAUGCAUAUAUUCAACCAUUUCAUCUGAAUUACUGCCACAGCUGGAAAAAAUUGCUGCUUCAAGUCUUCCACGUUCUUGAUUAGAAAGAUGGCAUCACUUGUGAUGGUUGCGAUGAUUUAAAGUAAGCCAUGAAAGGAAACACACACCUUCCCCAACAAAGGGCAUAUUGCCUUAUUCCAGCAGUAUCGGGUAACAACUCUGUCCUUACUGGGCAGAGCUUCAGAUAAAAAUAGAUCGAUUUCCAAAUUAGCAUCUAUUAAAAACAAACAUGUUCUUUAUGCCUGAAAUAAUUCUGCAGUAUGAAUGGGAAAACAUGUACUGAAUUUUUUCAACUUGUCAAUAACUUGUGUAGGUCACGUGCAAAUAUGCAAAACGUAAAACCAUUUUCUCCUGAUUUUCUGCUUUUAGAUAAGGUUGGUAAGUAUACAUCAAUCUUCACAACAUACUGCUUAUUGUGUGAAAAUGUCCAUGAUUUAAAGGACUGGAGUUAGGACUUGCUGGUUACAUCAUCUGUUAGAUUUCACUACUGAAAGCUUGGAUGGUGAUGAAGAUAACAGCAGUAAUUAAGAAGGAUGCUUCUGCUUUCUAUCCUCUGUGGACUUCACUGAGAGGCAGCCCUAAUGUCUGCAAGACUUGAAAUUAUACCAUGUGCUUUUCUGAGAAAGUGCAAAUGUAAGCACUAAUAGAGGCGGAUCAGACUGCGCCAAGGCAUUUACAGAUCGCCACUUCAGGCCAAGAUCCAUUUCAGGGGGAGGGCUGCACUACAACAUGCACUGCAAAUUAACUCUGCAGAUGAACAGAUUACUUUUUAUAAGGUGUUUAAAUCAACAUAUGGAAAACCAAGGCCCCUAAAAUGCCAUAAAAAUGACACUAUGCACUAAAACAACAAUGAUGUGGCUGCACAAUCGUACUGUAAAUGGAGCCUUCACAGAAGGGACCAGGGCUUGGACAGGUUGACUUCUAGGUUGAUGGUUUCUGAUAGACACAUCCCUGGGGAAGGGAGCAUGAGAACAAAAAAAUAUUGCAGGAGUUUUAGCCUUCCACCUCGAAGGAUGAGCAGAACACAAAGGGGGCUCUGCAUUUCGAUCAAAUGUCCUUGCAGAACCAGCCAUGAGCAAGCAGCAAGCGCUGCACGUGAAAACUGCUCCCUGUUAAAGCACCCCGUGCACUGACUCUCCUGUGAAGCAAUCAAAUACAAAGCACUUAUAUCAAGAUACUGAAAUCAGGAGUGGAGUUCAGGAAACAGACUGUGAAGUACCUAAUCCUAAAUGUCAAGCAUCUGAACCGCUGUUACUUGUCAUUUUUGGAGUUGAUUUGUUUCAAAGCGGUGUGAGCGCGGCGGCAGGAUGUUCGCUUGCAGAAGCACAAGAAGACUUUGUGCACACUGACCUAUUUCCUGGCCACCGUUACCAUUUCAGGUAGCUCCGCAGUAAGCGAGCAAAACUGACUUCCUUUUUCUAAAAUGGGGAAAGUAGCUGACGGGGAAGCUGCUCGAUACUAGUUUAAACUGGUAAAAUGGCAGCAGAAAACAGACAACAGGACACACCGCAGUGAGGUUUAAAGUAAUGAACCCCCAGCUUUCCUAAAAUGCACCUACAGAGAAUAAAGAAAACCCUCACCACCUCUCCUCCCACCUGUGCCAGCCAUGGAGCUCCUUCAUGUUGAUGCCAGGCUGCCUGAGCCAGGACACGAACUAGAACACAGGCUCCAAUUCUAAGUGAAAUCCCAGCUACUUUGACAAAUAAAAUAUUUGGAGACAGGUCCUAGAGGGCAGGCUGUGUCUUCCCUGGGGAAGAACUGGGGAUUUCAGGUGAAUGCGGGGGCAAGAAGAACACAGCCAGGCUGGCCCCAGACCCUUGCAGCGCUGACCUGGUCCCAGCCUCAGGCCCUAGGACUAGGAGCUGAGUCCAGAUGCAGCCCACAAACAGGAUUUUGUAAUCCUGCUGGAUCACCAACAACUCACCUCCCCUGAAAGCCGCGCUGCCACAACCUGCACCUUACUUUUGGUUUAAUUUUCAGAUCGAACGCAAACGAAGGGAUGGUUUCCAUUGCAGCAGGUCGAAGGAGCUUUCAGCCAGAUGCCAGCAGCUGAGGGGUUUGCCCAGCUCCCCGUCAGGUGCCGGUGUGUGCUGCUGGCCUGCCCCUGCUGGGGGAUGCUCGUUUCCAACACCUCACCGGCCCAAGGGGCCUCUGAGGCUCAGUCGCCAUAAGGAAACCGAAAGCGGCACUUUAAGAGCAAGAUUAAACCCUGCUCCGACCUCACGGAUCUUUAACGAUCCCCAAACCUUGACGACCCGGGGAAUUUUAAUAAAUAAACCCAGCUCCUCUUCACAAGGAGGGGAAGGAAGGCGGCCGCGCUGCCUCCAGCUACCCCCCGCCGCUGCUCGCGGCCUGAGGGAGGUUGCCCCGGCCUUUGUGGCGGGGGGGAGCUGCCCGGAGCGCCGCCAGCACCGGGCGA
This is a non-coding RNA of Anas platyrhynchos (mallard), 5382 nucleotides long. NCBI's taxonomy places the organism in Eukaryota, Metazoa, Chordata, Aves, Anseriformes, Anatidae. The record is from RefSeq and is a predicted model, not a curated record.